Molecule: ribosomal RNA, 495 nt
Filed under: uncultured bacterium
Lineage: Bacteria
Description: bacterial SSU rRNA
Rfam family: Bacterial small subunit ribosomal RNA
Source: RNAcentral
AUGAACGCUAGCGGCAGGCUAACACAUGCAAGUCGAGGGGCAGCAUACCCAGCAAUGGGUGAUGGCGACCGGCGGAAGGGUGCGUAACGCGUGAGCAACAUACCCUAUACAGGGGGAUAAGCCAGGGAAACUUGGUCUAAUAUCCCAUAGGAAAUAGAUAAGGCAUCUUGUUUAUUUUAAAGCUUCGGUGGUAUAGGAUUGGCUCGCGUGACAUUAGCUAGAUGGAGGGGUAACGGCCCACCAUGGCAAUGAUGUCUAGGGGUUCUGAGAGGAAGAUCCCCCCACACUGGGACUGAGACACGGCCCAGACUCCUACGGGAGGCAGCAGUGAGGAAUAUUGGACAAUGGAUGGAAAUCUGAUCCAGCCAUGCCGCGUGCAGGAAAGACGGCCCUAUGGGUUGUAAACUGCUUUUAUACGGGAGCAAUAAGGUCUAUGCAUAGAUUGAUGAGAGUACCGUAUGAAUAAGCAUCGGCUAACUCCGUGCCAGCCGCCGC